Molecule: ribosomal RNA, 549 nt
Filed under: uncultured Tylospora
Lineage: Eukaryota; Fungi; Basidiomycota; Agaricomycetes; Atheliales; Atheliaceae
Description: eukaryotic LSU rRNA
Source: RNAcentral
GGCCUCUCGGGGCAUGUGCACACCCGAGCCAUCCCCAACAAACACCGUGGGCCUUCGGGCCCGCGUAUAUUUACUCUGAAUGUGUAUAGAAUGUAAACCAUUUGUUUGCCCUGAAAAAGCAAACGAAAAAAAGUACAACUUUCAACAACGGAUCUCUUGGCUCUCGCAUCGAUGAAGAACGCAGCGAAAUGCGAUAAGUAAUGUGAAUUGCAGAUUUUCAGUGAAUCAUCGAAUCUUUGAACGCACCUUGCGCCCCUUGGUAUUCCGAGGGGCAUGCCUGUUUGAGUGUCAUUAAAUCCUCAACCGCGCCGAUUGAUUUCGGUGGGGCUUGGACUUUGGAGCGUGCUGGCGAAGGUCGGCUCCUCUUUAAAUGCAUCAGCGGAAGAAACCUUUGUCUUUCCUGCCUUCGGUGUGAUAAUUGUGUUGCGCCGYGGUGGAACUUCAACGAUCCGCUUACAAUGGUCUUCGGACGAAACCUCAUGUCAUCUUGACCUCAAAUCAGGUAGGACUACCCGCUGAACUUAAGCAUAUCAAUAAGCGGAGGAAAAG